RNAcentral lists this transfer RNA (78 nucleotides) under Mycobacteroides abscessus subsp. abscessus. RNAcentral's name for it is "tRNA-Leu(taa)". It matches the Rfam family "tRNA". Rfam says of the family: Transfer RNA (tRNA) molecules are approximately 80 nucleotides in length. The record is from RNAcentral. Lineage: Bacteria; Bacillati; Actinomycetota; Actinomycetes; Mycobacteriales; Mycobacteriaceae.
GUCUUCGUAGCCCAAUCUGGCAGAGGCUGCCGGCUUAAAACCGGUGUAGUGCAGGUUCGAACCCUGUCGAAGACACCA